This 324-nucleotide ribosomal RNA is filed under the name uncultured eukaryote. RNAcentral's name for it is "partial 18S ribosomal RNA". It matches the Rfam family "Eukaryotic small subunit ribosomal RNA", at positions 1470 to 1796 of the family's 1831-position model. The record is from RNAcentral.
CCCUUAGAUGUUCUGGGCCGCACGCGCGCUACACUGACGGAGGCAGCGAGCAUGUCCUUCGCCGAGAGGUGUGGGGAAUCUUGUGAGUCUCCGUCGUGCUGGGGAUAGAUGGUUGCAAUUGUCGAUCUUGAACGAGGAAUUCCUAGUAAGCGCGAGUCAUCAGCUCGCGCUGAUUACGUCCCUGCCCUUUGUACACACCGUCCGUCGCUCCUACCGAUUGAGUGAUCCGGUGAAUAAUUCGGACUGCGGCAUUGACCGGUUCCCGAUCGUUGCUGCGGAAAGUUUAGUGAACCUUAUCACUUAGAGGAAGGAGAAGUCGUAACA